CUAAAAAAAUAAAAAAAAUAAUUUUUUAAAUUUUGUUCUGAAUUAUACUAUUUCGAAAUUCAAACCCUAAACCCUAAAACUCAACUCUAAGCCCUAAACCCUAAAACUCAACUCUAAGCCCUAAACCAUCAAUCCUAAACCCUAUUUUUUUUAAAUAAACCUUAAACCCUGAAACAUCAACUCUAAACCCUAAAUCCCGAAACAUCAAUUCUAAACCCUACACCCUAAACCUUCAACUCUAAACUCUAAAACAUCAACUCUAAACACUAAACCCUAAACUUCAACACUAAACCCUAAACCCUAAAAAGUAAACUCUAAACCCUAAACCCUAUAAAUUAACCCUAAACCCUAAAAAAUCAACUGUAAACCCUAAACCCUAAACUUCAACUCUAAACCCUAAACCCUAAAUUCUAAAUCCUAAAUCCUAAAACCCUAGAGUUGAUGUUUUAGGGUUUAGAUUUGAAGAUUUAGGGGUUAGGGUUUACGUUUAGGGUUUAGAGUUGAUGUUUUAGGGUUUUAAUUUGAAGGUUUAGGGUUUAGGGUUUAGAGUUGAUGUUUCGGGGUUUAGGGUUUAGAGUUGAUGUUUCAUGGUUUAUGGUUUAGAGUUGAUGAUUUAGGGUUUAAAGUUGAUGUUUUAAGUUUAGAUUUAGGGUUUAGGGUUUACGUUUAGGGUUUGGGUUUAGAUUUGAAGUUUUAGGGUUUAAGGUUUAGAGUUGAUGUUUCAGGGUUUGAGGUUUAGAGUUGGUGUUUCAUGGUUUAGGGUUUAGAGUUCAUGGUUUAGGGUUUAGAGUUGAUGUUUUAAGUUUAGAUUAGUUAACCGUAUGUUUUUUUCUUUCAAAAGUGGUCAAAACGUUAUAAAUGUCUUUUACCCCUCAUUAAAGAUGAAGGUAAAAGUGGUUAGUGUAAACAUGAAAAGUGGUACUUUGAAAAUGGUAUUUUUAGCAAUUUUCCGUGUUUGUUAUUGUGUUUUUGUUUUAUAUAUAUAUAUCAGGUCAUCAAAAAAUUUAGACUUGAACCCGAAAUAUACUUCAUUAGCAUUAUUUAUUUGCAGAAUUCACCAGGAUAAUUUAUCUAAGUCAUCAAGAUUAUGGACAAUAUAGCAAACUCCACCAAAAUAUUUUAACAUCAAUUUUUUUUAACAAAUUCUCAUUAUAAAUAUUUGAUUAUAAAUUAUUUUGAAUUUAAUUUGUAUAUGUGUUUUUAUAAUAUUGACUUGUAACUUUUUAGGCUACUACUAAACAUUAACUUUAUAUGUUUCAUCCAAAUGUUUAAAAAUCCUAAUCAAGAUCAUAAAGUAAGAAGGAUAAUAAUCAAUUGAGUAGAUAAACAAGAGAUAAUAAUUUGUCAAGGAACACAAAUUUAAAUUUCUCAUAGUUAAAGUAAGAAGGAUAAUAAUCAAUUGAAUAGAUAAACAAAAGAUGAUUAUUUAUCAAGGAACACAAAUUUAAUUUUCUCAUAUUUAAUCGCGACAUUGGCAGUUACUUUCAAAUUUUAUCAUUUGAAAUGUAUUAUUUAAUCAAGAUGAUUCGUAAUUGGGACUCAGACUUUAUUUUGGAAAUCACCUUAUACAUAGAAAAAAUCUUAUCUUUCAUCCUUGUAAUGUAUAACUAAGAUUAUCAAACAGUCGUCACACGAAGUCUGCUCCGUAAAUAUUUAGUGGACUUCAGACGAAAUAUCCGUUCAUUAGCUAAAAGUCUAACGAAAUAAGAAAUAUGACUAUUCCAUAAAAUUAACUUAUUAACUUGUAAAAUUUAUUAAUAAGAAAGACAAUUCACAAACACACAUACAUGAAGGAACAAACCAAUUCUAAAAAUUCGUUAUGAAUAUGAAGAAAAUGAAAAUUUACAAAAUAAAAAAAGGAAGAAUUAUUUCAAAGGCUGCUCGAGGAGACUUAAGAAAAUGAAAAUUUACCAAAAUAUACAAUGAAUACUUACUCGAGGAAACUUAUUAAAUAUAUCUACUUGAACAGUCUUUGUAUGAAUUAUGCUAUGAUAAUCAUGUUACGUUUGUAAUUGACCAAACCAGAAUUAGACUUUCCGGAGUAGAAUUCAAAUGAAGUAUAUGCGAAAAUGACAGGUUAUUUUUGCAACCGACAAUAAUUGACUUUAUCAUAUCAGAUUUUACAUAAAAUCUGAAAAUGUAAUAUUUCAUGUGAAGACUGCUCUCAAGACUAGGGAUUAGUUUUGUGUUAGACUAAAAUUUCGAAAUAAACUAACAGAAGGUUUUGGCUGAAGUAUGCUCUAUUUUUAAAUAGAAGAUUUCACACGAAGUCUUCUAUUUGAUUUUUAUUUUUUGGGUUAAAUAUUUUGACAUUUUUGUUAAACAAAAAAAAUAACAUGAGCUGACUUAUUUUGACAAAGUGGAGAUUUCAUGUGGCAUCUAAAGAAAAUUCAUGUGUAGUCUCGAUUCAGAAGACUUCUCCUGAAAUCUGCUGUCAAAAACUCAAAAUUUUGGUCAUAUGCAAAAUUAAUCCGUUGUAACAGAGACUUUGCAAGAAGUCUACUCGAUUUUUUUAUGUUUACAAAGGAUAAAUAGCAAUUUCAUGUGAAAUCUUCAUUGAACACAAAAUGGUCAAUUACAAAACAAACGUACAUGUUUAUCUUGAUACUUGACAUGAAAUAUUUCCGGAGGAAAAAAAAUUAUUCGAAAUCUGCUUUCGCGAUACAUAUCUGAAAAGAAGUAACAUUAAGUUAAUAGUUAUUUAGUUCCGGUGAGAGUUCAUGUUUAGCUUCUUCAAGCACUUGUCAUUUUUAAUUUCAGCUGAAUGAAAGAUACUUAGUCGCUAAUAACCAAAAAUCAUCAAACUCAAACUUGAUGAGUUUAAGGAAAAUAUGAUUUUGAAAAACAAAAGGUUGAGAGGUUUUUGAAUGAAAUUAAAGAAAAAUAGAAGAUAAUGGAGUUGUGUGUGUAAAGAAUGAGAGAACAAGAGUCCACAAAUAGAUUAUAAGAAUUUAGAGCAUCAAUUUUGGUUGUUCAUAGUAAUUGGCAAAAUUAAUGGUGAUGGUAUUUACUUAAAUAAUUAAAGGUGUUUAAGCUAUUUGAGACACUUUUGGGUUUCGUGAAAACAUUACACAAAAUGAGGUGGUUUUCUUAAGUAGCAUGAUAUGUUAGAGAUGAUAAGGUUGAAAAUGGCAAAAUAUAGUGAGGUGAAAAAAUUAUUAGUCUUAUGCUUGACAAAAAAUUAAGUUAUUUUUGUAGGUCACCCUGAAAUUAAUACAAUAUAUCCAAACGCAAUUAAGAAAAGUAUAGGGUCUGAUUGGUAAGGGCUGUAGCUUUAAAAUUUUUGCUGUAGAAAAAAAUCUGUAGACUUUUUGUUGUUGCUUUAGAUUUUAUUGCUGUAGAAUUUUAUGGAAAGCACUAAAAAAUUGCUGUGGAUAUUUGGCACUGGAGAGCACUUGUACAGCUGUAGGUUAUUUCAAGAGCUGUGGUUUCAAAAAAAAAUUAAAGCUUGAUUGCUCUGAAUUUAAUUUAAAGCUUGAUUGCUCUGAAUUUGGUGCUUUAGAAAUAAAUAGAGCUUUAGACAACACCUACAGCAACUACCAAUCACCCCAUAGUAAUGGAAGAUUCAUUUCUUUAACACUAUAAAUUAUUUUCUUACAGGUAUAAAUUCCUUGUUUUUUUAGUAAGUUAACAAAAGAUAUAUUGUAAUGAUAUUAUCCCGUUAAUAAAAAAAUUAUUUGAAAUAUCUGUUUGUUGUCGAAAAAAUAGACAAAAUGAUAUUUUCCUAAAUGACUUGAUUUGUUGUUAUUUUAUACUAUACUACACCAAAAAAAUAGUUGAUAUGUUAUAGAUGAUAUAGGAUAAAAAUAGCAAAAUAUGGUAAGGUGAAAAAGAGCAAAUAUUCUAUACAUUUGACCAAAAAUUUGGGUCAUUUUUCCAAGUCACCCUGCAAUUAAUAACAAUAUAUCUCAAUGAAAUUAAUAAAAAUAUAUCAUAAUCUUCUUAAACAGAAGAUUCAUUUUUGGACAUACACAAGAUUCAUUUCCUUACCAAUCUAAAUUAUAAUGGUAUUAUCCCAUUUAAAAUAAAACCUGUAGGUAAUUUUGUGAGAGACUAAGAAUGAGAUAUUGUUUUAUAAUACUAGCCAAAAUUCUGUGUAACUAGUAUUGUGUUUUAAAUUAAAGAUCAUUACAAAAUAAAAAAAAUGGAUAACUCAUUAUAUAUAAAAAUACGUAUAGAAAUCUAGAUUUACUAAAAAAGCAGUAAAAGAUUUUCUUUAAGAAAAAAUGAAAACACUAAUCAAUCAAAUUUCCCCCUCAAAUAAGUGGCCAUAAAAUGAAAUAGAUAUCAAUUCAUAAUCAAAUACAUAAAUCUGGAUAACAUAUAUGUAAUACAUGCAUGUAUAUAUAUAUAUUCACAUUUCACCUAUUGAGAACUCAUUAUAUUGGCAAAUUAUAAACGUCUCGAUAAUGGCUUCCCUUGGCUUGAUCCUCUAUCUUUCCUCGGUUCUUCUCAUGAGCCUUUGUCAGUUUCCUACAGCUAUUGAGGAUGAUAGAAAGGCAAGCCAUUGCUGUUAUAUAUAUGUCUCGUUACCAUAUUUAACUAUCUAUGUUUUUUUUGUAUUAGCCUAUUCAUCGUUAUAGCAUUUUGUUUGACGCAGGUAUAUAUUGUUUACAUGGGAGCUCUUCCUUCAAAAGCUUCUUACACUCCUAUGUCUCACCAUCAUAAUAUCCUUCAAGAAGUUGUCAAAUCAAGGUUUAAGACUCUGUCAGCCCUAUCAUUUAUUGUAAACGUCAUCGUUUAUUACUUGUCUUUAUUUUCUCUUUUGUUAUGCAGCUCCGUAGAAGAUUCUUUGGUCAGAAAUUAUGGAAGAAGUUUCAACGGUUUUGCAGCCAAACUCACUGAAUCUGAAAGAGACAACCUUGCUGGUGAGAUAUAUGUUUAUAUAUUAAAGAAAAAAGAUUAUUUAACUCACUAUUAUGGCUAUUUCAGUGUUGAUAAUGUUAUGUGUGAUAUCUGUGAAGGCCUGGAAGGUGUGGUUUCGGUAUUCCCAAGCACCUUUUAUAAGCUUCUUACGACAAGGUCUUACGAGUUCAUGGGACUUGGUGACAAGAGCAAGCAAGUUCCUGAGGUGGAGACCAAUACAAUAGUUGGUGUAAUAGACGGAGGAAUAUGGCCUGAAUCCAAGAGCUUUUCAGACGAAGGCAUUGGCCCUAUACCAAAAAAAUGGAAAGGAACUUGCGCUGGAGGAACUAACUUCACAUGCAACAAGUUAACAACAUAUUCUAACCUCUUCUCCAAGUUUCUUGCGUGCAAAGCAAGGAUUGAAUGAGAGAUUAACUAACCCUAAUCCAAAUUCUACAGAAAGGUGAUUGGAGCACGACACUAUGUUCAAGACUCGGCGAGAGAUGAUGAUGGUCACGGGUCACACACGGCUUCAACAGCAGCUGGAAACAAAGUAAAAGGAGUGAGUGUAAACGGUGUGGCCAAAGGAACGGCUAGAGGUGGUGUGCCUCUAGGUAGAGUUGCCGUUUACAAAGUUUGCGAGCCAGCAGGUUGCAACGCAGAAGGUAUUUUAGCUGCGUUUGAUGAUGCUAUAGCCGAUGGAGUCGAUGUUAUAACCAUUUCCAUGGGAGGAGGUGUUACUAAAGUCGAUGUUGACCCUAUCGCUAUUGGAUCAUUUCAUGCCAUGACCAAAGGGAUUGUUACCACAGUAGCUGUCGGGAAUGACGGUUCUAAACUUGGACUAGCGUCUAACCUUGCACCAUGGCUCAUAUCCGUGGCUGCAGGUACAACUGAUCGAAGAUUUGUUACUGAUGUGGUUAAUGGAGAUGGCAAGACGCUUCAUGUAAGAACUGAUUCUCUUUUCUUAAUUUAUUCAGUUGGUCUAUGAAUGCAGGUUGGUCUUUACAUUUUAGGGAGUAUAGACAAUUUAGUAAAAACUUAAAAUUGUAAUAAAUUUUUUUUGUUGAAAUUUUUGGGUUUAUGCUUAUAUAUUAUUAACCAUAAAACUUUAGGAACCAUAGAUCAGUGUCUCACUUACAUAUGUCCAGGACCGACUGUGUAUGAAUGUGAUUGUAGCCACUAGCCAUCAUUAGUCAUGGCUGACUAAAGUAUGAAUACAGGGAAGAUCGAUCAAUGACUUUGACUUAAAGGGAAAGAAGUACCAAUUGGCGUAUGGAAAAACUGCUUCAAAUAACUGCACAGAGGAGCUAGCAAGGUAACUUGUAAUUCAAGGAUUGACCCUAACUUGCGACUCAAGAACUAGAUGGAACUUUACCGUUAAUGAAAAUCUCUUCUUUUAUUUAUAUGUGUAUCCUAUGCUUAGGGGUUGCGCCAGUGGUUGCCUGAACACAGUGCAGGGAAAGAUCGUUGUGUGCGAUGUUCCAGAUAAUGUUAUGGAACCUAAAUCAAUGGGAGCUGUUGGAGUUAUCCUUCAUGUAACAGAUGUUGAUAGUCCCGGUCUUGGUCCAAUUCCGGUCACAACCUUAGAUGAUACCAACUAUGAUGCAUUCAGAUCUUACGUUCUCACCUCACCGUAAGAAUCUUUUCUAUAUAACUUUCUGUGAUUAGACUCUUUUGAAGAUAGUUAACACUUGCGGAUAUUCAUUAACAUAGAAACCCACAAGGAACUAUACUGAAGACUGAGACGGUUAAAGACAACAAUGCUCCGAUUGUUGCUUCCUACUCUUCUCGUGGUCCAAACACUCUCUUUAGCGACAUUUUGAAGGUACCACUCGAUACAAAUUUCACAUAACUUUGUGUCGUAAAUCUACAUUUGUUGGACAUUAAAAGGUGAAUAUGUAUGCAGCCUGAUAUAACAGCUCCAGGAGUGAAUAUCUUAGCAGCAUAUUCACCAUUGGGUCAAACUGCACUUCCUGGACAAAGCGUGGGCUACUAUUUCAUGUCUGGAACAUCUAUGGCUUGCCCUCAUGUCGCUGGUGUAGCUGCAUAUGUCAAGACAUUCCAUCCUGAUUGGUCUGCUUCUGCUGUCAAAUCUGCUAUCAUGACUACUGGUAAUUAUCAAUAUAUUUCCCUGAAGAAAUAAUGCAAGUGAUGUGACACCCGAAUCGGUUCUUUUUGGUUUUGUUGCAGCUUGGGCAAUGAACGCUUCAAAAAAUGCAGAAGGUGAGUUUGCAUACGGAUCAGGACAUGUUAACCCUACAGUGGCAGUUGAUCCAGGGCUUGUUUACGACAUAGCCAAAGAGGAUUACUUAAACAUGCUCUGCUCUUUCGACUACUCAGCCAAAGGCAUUAGUACUCUCGGCGGUGGAGACUUUACUUGUUCCGAGAAAUCAAAGCUGACCAUGAGAAAUCUCAACUACCCUUCAAUGACAACCAAAGUUUCAGCUUCUUCAUCAUCCUCAGAUAUCACAUUUUCAAGAACGGUAACCAACGUUGGGAGAAAUAUAUCCACUUACAAAGCAAAACUGACUGGGAACCCUAAACUCAGUAUCACGGUUGAGCCACAGACACUCUCUUUUAAGUCAUCUUGGGAGAAGAAGAGUUUCACUGUUACCGUCUCCGGCAAGAGUCUUGCACAAAUUUCUGGUAUUGUGUCAGCAUCUCUGGUUUGGUCGGAUGGAACACACAAUGUGAGAAGUCCUAUUGUUGUAUAUACUUAGGUAUCAACACCAAACUAAAAUAAAAAUAAAAGUAAUUGAUGUUAUGGUCCCAAACUAAGUCUUAGGUUAUGAUACAAACAGGGUUUAACUUCUGAAACUCUAAUUAUCACCCUUCCCCGGAAACAUUCCUUCCAUGAAUUCGUCGAAGUUUUCAUCAUCCUUGCCUUCUCUCUCACAACCUUCCAGCUUGGACUUGUUCUUUUUUCCUGCCAUUAUGAAAGACAACUUUGUUCAUUCCCUUCUGAGAUUUUUAUAAUCCAUAACCUAUCACAAAAUCUGAACCUAGCCUCCCUUCAAUAGACUAGACACAUUAUAUAGCAAGCUUGGUAAAUUCCACACCUUUUCUCCUUUCCUCUUCCUCUAUGUCAUCUUCACUACUUGAUCGAUUCCUGAGAUCCAAAUUAUAUUUAGCUCAAGAGAAAACCAUAACCCUUAGGUUGUAAUAUGAUACUGAUUUCAUUAUCAAUACCGUUUACGUUUCUGCCUUUUCUUUUCUUUACUCUCUGAUCUUUCAGCAUCCUUUCCUCUUUUGUAGUAAAGCUUCUCAGCACAUCUAGUGACAUUAAAGAAAUAGAAAAGAGGGUUGUCAAGCUUUACUGGAGACCAAGCAAGUGGUAUAGAAAAGCAUAUAAACAAAAUAAGUAUUGAUCAUUGCCGUAGGUACUUAAUUUCCAAAACCACCACCAAAACUUUUCUUCAUAAUCAAUAUAAAAAACAGAGAUGAACAGGCUGUAUAAUGAGUGACUCUAGUACCUCUCACAAGUUACGAGUUUAACAAGGGCUUGUUUGUGUUCUCCAGCUUCGUGAUAAGAAAAAUUCACCUGCAAAUUCAACAAGCUUAACGAGAUAAUCAGACACACACAGAGACAUCGAAAAGAAGUCAUUUAGAAAUUUUCUAAAGAUACAUGCCUCAUAGCUCGCUAACCCUUCUAUUUCAUGACAUUGUUUGCUCCCACACAUAAACUGCCCUGACAGAGAAGCAAUGCAUUUAAACUCAAAAACUCUUAUCAUAGAUACGUCCAUGAAAAAAUUAGAAUCUUUAGUAAUAUAAACCUUUGCCUGACAUUACUUCCUUUUCCGUUCUCCAUCUUAAACCCAUCUACAAACAUUCAGAAUAAGCCAACUGAACAAAAAGUACUAUAGGAAAACAAGAUGAGAUGAAGUAUCCAUACACCAGAUUUUUAUACCUGACCAGUCUUGUAUCUUGACAUGUCAGCUAUACAGUAUCUUAAAUCAGUCAAGGAGAUAAAAAGACAUGAACUCAUCAACACUCUCACAACAACAAAAAAAGUACUUGUAACUUUGAAUAAGUUAUAUCUAAGCAGCUCAAUGUGGUAAAGGAUACUCCUUAAAAAGCUUAUCAUAGUAUCGCUUCACCAGCCUUUGCUCCCAAGAAGGGUUCAAAUCAUCUUCUUCAGAACGUAUAAACCUUUGCAAGUAAAAACCCCAAACUUCAUGAGUAAACAUACAAACAAGUUUCCAAAGAGAUGAGAAGAUACAAAAACAAAACGCAAGAAACCAUUUUUUUGUAAUCAAAGAAAACAGAAGCGAGAGUUUCAACAAGAAACAACAUUAUACAAGAGUGCACCAUACCGGUAUCCUUCUCUAAGUGUGUCGUGGUCGGUUUUAAGCGGGAGCUUGACUUCUGUCGGCUUGUCCUUGCCAUAGAAACGAACUGCAAAGUAAAUAGGCUUUAAUAAUAUACUAUGAGACUCCACAACUAGUAGCUAUUCCAAGGCAACAAAAAGGAAUGAUCUUUUCUUAAAGGGUACUAAGAAAAAAAGAAGAAGAUGUAAGGCUGACUGUAGCCUCCUUCGAAGCUCAGAGGAGAAGACUGUUCAUCAACCAAGAUUUGAUUUUGGGACAAUAUGGAUUCGGAUAAAAAAGAAAAGCUCUCUUAUUUACCCCCAAUUCAUUGUCCCUUUUAACCUCCUUAUACGAAGAAGCUACAAGACAAGCGCAUGGAGAAAGAAGGGUACCGUAGUCUUUCAAGAACUUCUUGUGGCGUUCAUAAGCAUUGAGGCCACGAAUGUGCGCUUGGUAUUGCCUGUAGAAGAGACCAAUGAUAUUAACAAAAGACUAAGAAGACGUAAUCGAUUGUGAGGGAGAGAUAGAGAAGGAAGAUUAACUGCUUGCGUUCUUCUCGGUCGUAAAUUUCAGAUCUGAUAGUUGCCGAAGAAGCCAUUAUCCUCCGAUGUCGUCAACCUUUAGGUCGUUUUAUAAUAGGCUGGCCUAUGUAUGGGCCUUUGUGCUUAAAUUUAAUUUGGGCAACUCGAUUCGGUUUGGAAACGUUAUAAGGGGGUUUCUACACCAGACCAGAGUUCACUUUCCAUAGUUAGUUGAUCAUCGUAUCCCUAAACAUUGGCUAAACAUGAUCUGUGAUCUGAUUUGUAUAUGUAUCAUCAUCAUAUUCAAUUUCGACAAAAAAAAAAAAUGAUGACAUGCAUUAAUCUAAUUAUCACAUAUACUUUUUCUUUAUAAAAAUUAAUAUUUUUGGCAAAGUUUUUUAUAUGGUAAUGACAUUAACUCAUAUAUGUAAACAUGUUUGGUUUCUGGUUUUGUUCCAGUUCCGGGUUCUUUUUUGUUUUUUUUCAUUUUACAAAUUUAAGAACCAUUCGGUUUAUUAGAAAAUUUUGGUUCUAUUUUGGUUUGGUUCGGAUAACGAUAUUAGGAAUCUGCUAGUAUCUACUAAAAUUUUGUUUCUAAUUCAGUUCCGGUUCGGUUCCAUUUUCAGAUAAUUAUGGAUAAUUCAUGUAAAAAUAGAUUUUUGAUUUUAUCGGAUUAAAUAUCAGGUAAUUUGGAUAAAAUUACAUAUUUUGGAUUAAAAUUAUUCAUGCAAUUUGGUUUUCAGGUAAUUCGAAUAAUUUUAAAUAUGUUAUAUAAAAAUAUUUGGGUAAUUUGUUUUUUUUAUAAUUUAGUUUUUAAGUAAUAUUUUUUAGAAUAUUUAGUAAUUUCAAAAUCAAAUAUAAAUAAUAUUUUUAGUGUAUUCUCGGUUCAGUAUGGAUUUUUUGGUUAGAGAUAUAGUAAAGGUUGGUUAUUUGUGAACAUCGGCUUGGCUUUUAGUUUGUUUUUUAGUUUGGUUUCAGUUUGGUUUUUGGUUUAUAUGCACAUACCUGCGUAAGUAAGUGGAAUUGUCUAAGUUGGACGGAUACUCCUCCGGCUAGUUAAAUUUUAUUGUUUUUAAUUAGGGGUUUUUGCCAAAACUAACCCACAACUUGAUUUUAAUCCCAAACCUAUACCCAAACUUAAAUCAAAUGCAAAACUAACCUAAAAGCCUAGUGAAAUUACAGCUCAACCCCUUGUGACCAAACAAAAAAAUAGAAGCCAUUUUUACGAAUAUAGCCCCAGUAAAUCGUUUGAGUCGUCCGGAUGUUGGAAGUCGUCUGGACGACUGAAGUUUAAGUCGUCUGGUACCAGUUUAUUUUAAAAAUAAUUUAUAAAUCUUGUAAAAAAAUAUUUUGAUGCGUGAAAAAUAAAAAUCAAGUAAUUAUAAACAGUUUUAAGUGAUAUAAAUUAAGAUAUGAUAAAAUUGAUUUGUUUUGAAGAUAGAUGAGUGGAAGUAGUGAAUCAUGAAAUACUUUGGUUUAGGAGUUUGGCAAACAUAUGUUGUAGUAUUGUAUGUAUUGUUAGGGCUAGAUUUUGGAAAACUAAAAUGUUUUUUUCAAAAAUUAGUUUUUACCUAUAUGUGUUUAUUUAUGUGUACAGUAAACACUUUUCAAGUUUGAUUUGAUUUUAUGAAGUCUUUAAUUAGAUAAUUAAGUUUAGGGGUUAUGUUUAGGGUGUGGACGACUUAUAUUUCAGUCGUCUGUUGAAUAAUUUACUCGGACGACGUAUAUUUUAGUCGUCUGUUGAAUAAUUUACUCGGACGACUUACAUUUCAGUCGUCUGGUGAAGAAAUUAAAACAGAUGACUUACAUGUAAGUCGUCCAAAUAUUCCCGCCUAAAAUUUUUUUAAAAAAUUAUUUUCCCGCUUAAAUAAUUUAAACCAGACGACUUACUUGUAAGUCGUCUAGAAAGUCUUCUAUUUUAGUUUCCCACUAAAAAUAUUUAACUUCCCGCUAAAAAUAUUAAACUCUUCUGGACGACUUACAUGUAAGUCGUCUGUUUUAAUUUCUUCACCAGACGACUGAAAUAUAAGUCGUCUGCUUUAAUUUCUUCACUAGACGACUGAAAUGUAAGUCGUCCAGGAAGUCGUCUGAGUACUUAAACUCUUCUGGACGACUUACAUGUAAGUCGGCUGUUUUAAUUUCUUCAGCAGACGACUGAAAUAUAAGUCGUCUGCUUUAAUUUCUUCACUAGACGACUGAAAUGUAAGUCGUCCAGGAAGUCGUCUGAGUAAAAAAUAUUUAAUCUAAUUGGAUUUUUUGUCUCCCUAUAUAAAGAAAAAUUUACACAUUCUCUCUCCUCCUCUCAAAUGGCUGCAACAAAAAUGUAAUGUUCAUCAUUCUAAAACUCUCCAACCUCUCUCUAAUCUCUUUGACUUGAAAACACCAAACUUUAUAUGAAUUUUUCAAUUUUGUCUCAUGUAUUUCUUACUAAUCUAUCUCUUUUACAGGUUUUUAAUCAAAUGGUACUCAUCUUCCAUUAAUUUAAAGGUAGAUCUAUUAUUUUUAGAUAUGUAUUUUUGUGUGUUCUAUAAAUGUAGAUUUAUCUAAUCUUCCACUCAUUUUCUCUAUUUUUAAGUCAUUUGAACGUUUUUGGAUAUGCAGGUUUUUCAGAUCUGGAUUUGAAAUGCAGGUUUUUCAGAUCUGGAAGACUUCUUGGACGACUUACCUGUUAGUCGUCUGGAAGUCGUCUGGACUUCUUGGAAGUCUUCUGACAAAGUCGUCGUCUGGACUUCCAGGAAGUCGUCUGGACUUCAGGGAAGUCGUCUGGACUUCAUGGAAGUCUUCUGACGAAGUCUCCCUUUCAUAAUAGAUCUGAGCGUUUUGGUAAGUUCUUAUGUCUGAUUUUUCUUCAUUUGGGAACUUCUUGUUGUAUAAAGUUCUUACUUUUUUCCCAAACUAAAACUCUCCAAACCCACUCUAAUCUCUUUGACUUGAAAACACCAAACUUUAUAUGAAUUUUCCAGUUUUGUCUCAUGUCUUUCUUACUAAUCUAUCUUUUUUGCAGGUUUUUAAUUAGAUGGUACUCAUCUUCCACUAAUUUAAAGGUAGAUCUAUUAUUUUUAGAUAUGUAUUUUUGUGUGUUCUGUAAAGGUAGAUUUAUCUAAUCUUUCACUCAUUUUUUCUGUUUUUAAGCCAUUUGAACGUUUUUAGAUAUGCAGGUUUUUCAGAUCUGGAUUUAAUAUGCAGGUUUUUCAGAUCUGGAAGACUUCUGGGACGACUUACCUGUUAGUCGUCUGGAAGUCGUCUGGACUUCUUGGAAGUCUUCUGACAAAGUCGUCUGGACUUCCUGUAAAGUCGUCUGGACUUCCUGUAAAGUCGUCUGGAAGUCGUCUGAACUUCCUAAAAGUCUUCUGACAAAGUCGUCUGAACUUCUUGGAAGUCGUCUGGACUUCUUAGAAGUCGUCUGGACUUCUUAAAAGUCGUGUGGUCUUGUCUACUCAAGUGGAAUCCAAGCUUGUCUUUGUAGAGGAAUGAUCUAUAAUAGUUUUGUUUGUGGUAUGUUUUGUGAAUUGCAUGUCUACUCUUUUAGUUGUGAAUUUUUUGUAAAACCAGUAAUAAUGUUUUCCAAGAUGUAUUAAAUGUGCUAACAAUGUGUUUACACAUUUACAAAUCAAUGAAAUAAUAGACUUCAGUAGCCUUUUUCUUAUCUUUGGAUCUCUCAUAUGCAAUAAUAAACUCCAAUGACCUUUUUCUCAUCUUAAUAAACAAGAAUGUUGGUAGCUUUAUAUUGAUACAACAUUUUAAGAAGUAUUUUAACCCUUCUUCCAACUCAUAACAAUAGUCAUCAUUAUUGUCUAUAACAAUAAUACUUAAGAGAUGGAAACAAACAAUAGUAACUAGUCAAAGCAUAUCAUAUUUUAUUAUAAGUUUGCGUUGAAAAACUUAGUCAAAUUUAGUAAAACUAAGGGAGAGAACAUAUUUUGUAAAUAUGAGUUUUACAUAUCUUGAAGUUACUUAUCACUCUUAAAAAUACAAGUUAUUCAAAAACUAAACUAGAAGACUUAAAAACUAGCGGAGAAGACGCGGACGACUUCAAUCUAAGUUGUCCAGACGACUAAACUAUACGUCGUCUGGUCAACACAGAGGUUAUUUUUGCAAUUGACUUUGAAAUCUGUUAUUUCGGACGACUGAAAAAUAAGUCGUCUACUAUUGUUUGGCUAAAAAAAACUCCAAAAAAGCUAGACGACUUACAUUUCAGUCGUCAUAGGUUAGUUUUGCAUUUGACUGGAUAAUUUCAGAAGUUUGACUUUUCUGGACGACUUACAUUUCAGUCGUCUAGUGAAAAUUAAAAUAAUAAUAUUUUUUUAAAAGUAGACGACUUACAGUUAAGUCGUCAUAGGUUAGUUUUGCAAUUGAAAAAAAAAACUUCAAGAUUUAAUUAUAUACAGACGACUUAUAAUUCAGUCGUCCGCGAGACGACUGAAAUGUAAGUCGUCCAGGAUUUACGAGGUUUGACCAGAAUCUCAGAAAAAAAUCCUGGACGACUUACAAGUAAGUCGUCUCGUGGACGACUGAACUAUAAGUCGUCUGUGUAUAAUUAAAUUUUGAAGUUUUUUUUUUCAAUUGCAAAACUAACCUAUGACGACUUAACUGUAAGUCGUCUACUUUUAAAAAAAUAUUAUUAUUUUAAUUUUCGCCAGACGACUAAAAUGUAAGUCGUCUGGAGAACUCAAACUUCUGAAAUUAUCCAGUCAAAUGCAAAACUAACCUAUGACGACUGAAAUGUAAGUCGUCUAGGUUCUUUGGAAAUUUUUUUGAAACCAAACAAAAACAGACGACUUAACUUUCAGUCGUCUCAGGUUACAGAUUUCAAAGUCAAUUGCAAAAAUAACCUCUGCGUUGACCAGACGACUUCCAGGUAAGUUGUCUACAGCCAGACGACUUCCCAAGUAAGUCGUCUGACGAACAGAUCUGGAAAAAAACUCGAUGUCAUACCUUAAAUUGGUGAGAUAAGUUCCUUAGCAUACAUAAGGCUUCUCCAAGCACACAGAAUCACAAACGAAAGUAACCCACCCAGAAUCGUUAGCUUCUAUGACUAUAUGAACCAUAAAAAAUUUAGAAUCAAAAUCUUGGGUUUUUUUAGCUCAUUGUGGAGAGAAAGUGAGAGAUAUGUUGUGUUUAGUUCACAAGAAUGGAAAAAAAAGAAGGGUAAAUCGAUUUUGGGAGCAUUAAGAGCUUCAAAUUGGUUGUUCAUGGUGGUUGUGGUAUUGAUGACAAUGACAAUCUUGUAAUUACUUGAAGAUGAUGAGGGUGAGAGAGUAAAAUGUCAUUUUCGAAAAAAAAAAAGAAAAAAAAAAUUGAUGGCAUUUUCGUAAAUUAUAUGAACUUGUGGGGUGAAUAGGGCAAAACUAAUUUUCAAAAAAAAAGGAGGUUAGUUUUGUGUUUGACUUUAAGUUAUAGGUCAAUUCUGCAAAAAAACCCUUUUAAUUAUUGUAGAAAAACUACCAGAAUCAAAGAUAGUAUUAAUACAAAUAGUUUAAACAUCUCCAUUAUAGAUAGUUUAAGACCAUGUACAACGGUUUCAACACCCAUUAUAUUUCAACACCCUAUUUUUU
This 15228-nucleotide long non-coding RNA is filed under the name Brassica napus (rape). RNAcentral describes it as "long non-coding RNA (BNAP_LNC009764)". Lineage: Eukaryota; Viridiplantae; Streptophyta; Magnoliopsida; Brassicales; Brassicaceae. The record is from RNAcentral.